RNAcentral lists this ribosomal RNA (266 nucleotides) under uncultured bacterium. Its description in RNAcentral is "partial 16S ribosomal RNA". It matches the Rfam family "Bacterial small subunit ribosomal RNA", at positions 793 to 1055 of the family's 1533-position model. The record is from RNAcentral.
GUCCACGCCGUAAACGAUGGGUGCUAGGUGUCGCGGGCUUUGACCCCUGCGGUGCCGUAGCUAACGCAUUAAGCACCCCGCCUGGGGAGUACGGCCGCAAGGCUAAAACUCAAAGGAAUUGACGGGGGCCCGCACAAGCGGUGGAGCAUGUGGUUCAAUUCGACGCAACGCGCAGAACCUUACCUGGGCUAGAAAAUGCAGGAACCUGGUUGAAAAAUCGGGGUGCUCUUCGGAGAACCUGUAGUUAGGUGCUGCAUGGCUGUCGU